RNAcentral lists this ribosomal RNA (252 nucleotides) under uncultured bacterium. RNAcentral describes it as "partial 16S ribosomal RNA". It matches the Rfam family "Bacterial small subunit ribosomal RNA", at positions 524 to 776 of the family's 1533-position model. The record is from RNAcentral.
UACGUAGGGGGCUAGCGUUAUCCGGAAUUACUGGGCGUAAAGGGUGCGUAGGUGGUUUCUUAAGUCAGAGGUGAAAGGCUACGGCUCAACCGUGGUAAGCCUUUGAAACUGGGAAACUUGAGUGCAGGAGAGGAGAGUGGAAUUCCUAGUGUAGCGGUGAAAUGCGUAGAUAUUAGGAGGAACACCAGUUGCGAAGGCGGCUCUCUGGACUGUAACUGACACUGAGGCACGAAAGCGUGGGUAGCAAACAGG